This 57-nucleotide transfer RNA is filed under the name Odocoileus virginianus texanus. It matches the Rfam family "tRNA", at positions 8 to 63 of the family's 71-position model. Rfam says of the family: Transfer RNA (tRNA) molecules are approximately 80 nucleotides in length. Their secondary structure includes four short double-helical elements and three loops (D, anti-codon, and T loops). RNAcentral also lists the same sequence under 8 other names. The record is from Rfam by way of RNAcentral. Lineage: Eukaryota; Metazoa; Chordata; Mammalia; Artiodactyla; Cervidae.
UAGCUCAGUUGGUAAAGAAUCUGCCUGCAAUGCAGAAGACCCUGGUUUGAUUCCUGG